This 248-nucleotide long non-coding RNA is filed under the name Elaeis guineensis (African oil palm). RNAcentral's name for it is "long non-coding RNA (EGUI_LNC024118)". Lineage: Eukaryota; Viridiplantae; Streptophyta; Magnoliopsida; Arecales; Arecaceae. The record is from RNAcentral.
CAGGUCCCUGCGGCGACCGCGACUUCCCCGACUCCAGCUUCUCCGGCGCAAACGGAUUUUUGCACCAACAGGAUUGGCGCUAGAGGAAGGGGCUGAACCUUCGCAGUACCCUUGUUCUUAAAGGAGCGUUCAACGGAGCCACCUCCGAUCAUCUCCUCCGACACCCACUUCUUAUUUUCCCCCGCUGGGUCCACACUCGAUGCCUCCACGCAAGGCGUCCACACGACGGUCCACGGCCUCCACGGCCA